GACGAACGCUGGCGGCGCGCCUAACACAUGCAAGUCGAACGAGCGAGAGAGAGCUUGCUUUCUCAAGCGAGUGGCGAACGGGUGAGUAACGCGUGAGGAACCUGCCUCAAAGAGGGGGACAACAGUUGGAAACGACUGCUAAUACCGGAUAUGAACUUCUACCGCAUGGUGGUUGUUGGAAAGAUUUAUCGGUGAGGGAUGGACUCGCGGCCUAUCAGUUUGUUGGUGAAGUAAUGGCUCACCAAGACGAUGACGGGUAGCCGGCCUGAGAGGGCGACCGGCCACACUGGGACUGAGACACGGCCCAG
Molecule: ribosomal RNA, 308 nt
Filed under: uncultured bacterium
Lineage: Bacteria
Description: bacterial SSU rRNA
Rfam family: Bacterial small subunit ribosomal RNA
Source: RNAcentral